AUGAACGCUAGCGGCAGGCUUUAACACCAUGCAAGUCGAGGGGUAGAAGCAGCUUGCUGCUUUGAGACCGGCGCACGGGUGCGUAACGCGUAUGCAAUCUACCUUUUACAGAGGGAUAGCCCAGAGAAAUUUGGAUUUAAUACCUCAUAGUAUGUGAGAAUCGCAUGGUUUUUCACAUUAAAGUUCCAACGGUAAAAGAUGAGCAUGCGUCCCAUUAGCUAGAUGGUAAGGUAACGGCUUACCAUGGCGACGAUGGGUAGGGGUCCUGAGAGGGAGAUCCCCCACACUGGUAUUGAGACACGGACCAGACUCCUACGGGAGGCAGCAGUGAGGAAUAUUGGACAAUGGGCGCAAGCCUGAUCCAGCCAUGCCGCGUGCAGGAUGACGGUCCUAUGGAUUGUAAACUGCUUUGUACAGGAAGAAACACUCCCUCGUGAGGGAGCUUGACGGUACUGUAGGAAUAAGGAUCGGCUAACUCCGUG
RNAcentral lists this ribosomal RNA (482 nucleotides) under uncultured bacterium. RNAcentral's name for it is "bacterial SSU rRNA". It matches the Rfam family "Bacterial small subunit ribosomal RNA", at positions 29 to 507 of the family's 1533-position model. The record is from RNAcentral.